UACGAGUGCCUCAAGCGUUAUCCGGAAUUAUUGGGCGUAAAGGGUGUGUAGGCGGUUUUGUUAGUCUUCUGUCAAAGUCUCCGGCUUAACCGGGGUUCUGCAGAGGAAACGGCAAGACUCGAGGAUGCGAGAGGUGAAUGGAACUCAUAGUGUAGGGGUGAAAUCCGUUGAUAUUAUGGGGAACACCAAAAGCGAAGGCAAUUCACUGGCGCACUCCUGACGCUGAAACACGAAAGCGUGGGUAGCGAAUGGG
RNAcentral lists this ribosomal RNA (253 nucleotides) under uncultured bacterium. RNAcentral describes it as "partial 16S ribosomal RNA". It matches the Rfam family "Bacterial small subunit ribosomal RNA", at positions 524 to 776 of the family's 1533-position model. The record is from RNAcentral.